AGAGUUUGAUCAUGGCUCAGAUUGAACGCUGGCGGCAUGCCUAACACAUGCAAGUCGAACGGAAACGAUGGAAGCUUGCUUCCAGGCGUCGAGUGGCGGACGGGUGAGUAAUACUUAGGAAUCUGCCCAGUAGUGGGGGACAACUCGGGGAAACUCGAGCUAAUACCGCAUACGACCUACGGGUGAAAGUGGAGGAUCUUCGGACUUCACGCUAUUGGAUGAGCCUAAGUCGGAUUAGCUUGUUGGUGAGGUAAAGGCUCACCAAGGCGACGAUCCGUAGCUGGUCUGAGAGGACGAUCAGCCACACUGGGACUGAGACACGGCCCAGACUCCUACGGGAGGCAGCAGUGGGGAAUAUUGGACAAUGGGGGCAACCCUGAUCCAGCAAUGCCGCGUGUGUGAAGAAGGCCUGCGGGUUGUAAAGCACUUUCAGUAGAGAAGAAAAGCUUACGGUUAAUACCCGUGAGUCUUGACGUUACCUACAGAAGAAGCUCCGGCUAACUCCGUGCCAGCAGCCGCGGUAAUACGGAGGGAGCGAGCGUUAAUCGGAAUUACUGGGCGUAAAGCGCGCGUAGGCGGCUUUGUAAGUCGGAUGUGAAAGCCCAGGGCUCAACCCUGGAAUUGCAUUCGAUACUGCAUGGCUAGAGUAUGGUAGAGGGAAGUGGAAUUUCCGGUGUAGCGGUGAAAUGCGUAGAUAUCGGAAGGAACACCAGUGGCGAAGGCGACUUCCUGGGCCAAUACU
RNAcentral lists this ribosomal RNA (742 nucleotides) under uncultured bacterium. RNAcentral describes it as "bacterial SSU rRNA". It matches the Rfam family "Bacterial small subunit ribosomal RNA", at positions 8 to 741 of the family's 1533-position model. The record is from RNAcentral.